This 397-nucleotide ribosomal RNA is filed under the name uncultured bacterium. RNAcentral describes it as "bacterial SSU rRNA". It matches the Rfam family "Bacterial small subunit ribosomal RNA", at positions 27 to 428 of the family's 1533-position model. The record is from RNAcentral.
GGACGAACGCUGGCGGCGUGCUUAACACAUGCAAGUCGAGCGGUAAGGCCCUUUCGGGGGUACACGAGCGGCGAACGGGUGAGUAACACGUGGGUGACCUGCCCUCAGCUCUGGGAUAAGCCUGGGAAACUGGGUCUAAUACUGGAUAUGACUCCACGGUGCAUGUCGUGGGGUGGAAAGCCUUGUGCGGCUGAGGAUGGGCCCGCGGCCUAUCAGCUUGUUGGUGGGGUGAUGGCCUACCAAGGCGACGACGGGUAGCCGGCCUGAGAGGGCGACCGGCCACACUGGGACUGAGACACGGCCCAGACUCCUACGGGAGGCAGCAGUGGGGAAUCUUGCGCAAUGGGCGAAAGCCUGACGCAGCGACGCCGCGUGAGGGAUGACGGCCUCGGUGUAA